GUCAAACACCUAUUUUGUAAUGGAAAAGUAUGAAGCAAAUAUAGGAAAAUGAGAACAUGAUAACCAGAUAUCAAAGUACAAUAUCAUCUUCAAGCAUUCAUAGAAAUAUAGACAAAUGCAAAUAUAUAUGGUGGACCUAUGUUCCAUUGAACCAUAAAGACGAACUACAGACUAUAUAAAACUCAAUCUGUAAUUUCAAUAAAAUUAUACAUAAUGUAUUUUACCUGAUUAAACCCAGCUCUAAA
RNAcentral lists this unclassified non-coding RNA (245 nucleotides) under Hevea brasiliensis (rubber tree). Lineage: Eukaryota; Viridiplantae; Streptophyta; Magnoliopsida; Malpighiales; Euphorbiaceae. The record is from RNAcentral.